GACGAACGCUGGCGGCGUGCUUAACACAUGCAAGUCGAACGGAAAGGCCCUGCGUUUGUGGGGUGCUCGAGUGGCGAGCGGGUGAGUAACACGUGAGUAACCUGCCCUUGUCUUUGGGAUAACUUCAGGAAACUGGGGCUAAUACCGGAUAGGAGCUCCUGCUGCAUGGUGGGGGUUGGAGAGUUUCGGCGGUUGGGGAUGGACUCGCGGCUUAUCCGCUUGUUGGUCGGGUAGUGGCUUACCAAGGCUUUGACGGGUAGCCGGCCUGAGAGGGUGACCGGCCUCCAUGGGCCUGAGAGACGGCGCAGAAGCCUACGGGAGGCAGCAGUGGGGAAUAUUGCACAAUGGGCGGAAGCCUGAUGCAGCAACGCCGCGUGCGGGAUGACGUCCUUCGGGUUGUAAACCGCUUUCGCCUGUGACGAAGCGUGAGUGACGGUAAUUGGUAAAGAAGCACCGGCUAACUACGUG
RNAcentral lists this ribosomal RNA (468 nucleotides) under uncultured bacterium. RNAcentral's name for it is "partial 16S ribosomal RNA". It matches the Rfam family "Bacterial small subunit ribosomal RNA", at positions 28 to 507 of the family's 1533-position model. The record is from RNAcentral.